RNAcentral lists this ribosomal RNA (689 nucleotides) under uncultured phototrophic eukaryote. RNAcentral describes it as "bacterial SSU rRNA". It matches the Rfam family "Bacterial small subunit ribosomal RNA", at positions 356 to 1061 of the family's 1533-position model. The record is from RNAcentral.
GGGGAAUUUUCCGCAAUGGGCGAAAGCCUGACGGAGCAAUGCCGCGUGGAGGAAGACGGCCCGUGGGUUGUAAACUCCUUUUCUCAGAGAAGAAGUUCUGACGGUAUCUGAGGAAUAAGCAUCGGCUAACUCCGUGCCAGCAGCCGCGGUAAUACGGAGGAUGCAAGCGUUAUCCGGAAUCAUUGGGCGUAAAGCGUCUGUAGGUUGUUUUGUAAGUCCGCUGUAAAAGAGUACAGCUUAACUGUAGAUGGGCAGUGGAAACUACAAGACUGGAGUGUGGUAGGGGCAGAGGGAAUUCCCGGUGUAGCGGUGAAAUGCGUAGAUAUCGGGAAGAACACCAACGGCGAAAGCACUCUGCUGGGCCAACACUGACACUGAGAGACGAAAGCUAAGGGAGCGAAAAGGAUUAGAUACCCUUGUAGUCUUAGCCGUAAACGAUGGAUACUAAGUGGUGCGCGUAUUCAUGCCUGCACUGCUGUAGCUAACGCGUUAAGUAUCCCGCCUGGGGAGUAUGCUCGCAAGGGUGAAACUCAAAGGAAUUGACGGGGGCCCGCACAAGCGGUGGAGCAUGUGGUUUAAUUCGAUGCAACGCGAAGAACCUUACCAGGGCUUGACAUGCCACGAAUCUUUCAGAGAUGAGAGAGUGCCUUCGGGAAUGUGGACACAGGUGGUGCAUGGCUUCUCAGCUC